GGAGAGGAGGAAGGAUCUGUUUCUGGAGGGUCCCCUGGAUUCUUCACCCAGUCAUGCACUCAGCAGAUAUGUAUUUGCCACCUUCUAGAGGUUGCACUUUUUUUUUUUUUUUAGAGGUCCAUUGUAAAUGCCCACAAGAAUUUCUCACUUCCUGAUGUUGGCGACAUGGCUCAGAGUUGGUGGAGCACGAACGCUGCGCGUGAGCAUUGACCAGUAGGAAGAGGAAGUGGCAACAGGCCGAGCGUAUACAAGGCUGCAAGAUAUAUGAGCUAAAGAAAAUUGCUGACAGUGGAAAUGGUCACAGGCAGUUCAAGUUACAGUGGAUAUCAUGCAGAGAAAGAAAAAAGAAAGCAUGGUCAGAAGGAAAGAAGAAGAAAGGAGGAAAAGAAGGAAGAAAAGAAGGAAGAAGGAAGACAUGAGGUCAGUCCCACCCCUGCUGUUCACUAGACCAUCUUCCCUACUAGGUUGUGAGCUCCUGGAGAGCAGGCCCUGCAACUUCACGUUUAUAUAACAAGUGCACACACAAGGCUGGAGGAUGGAUGGAUGGAGGGAUGGAGGGAUGGAUGGAUGAAUGGAUAAACCAUGAAGCCAUUGGUAUAAAAUGGUAUAAAAUGGGAAGCCAUAAAGUGAGGGGGAGAGAAAGAUUCAGAGAAAGGUUCAUAAAAUUUUUCGAUCUUCUGUGUAUCUAAUGACAGUAACGUUCUUAUCCCGGGGUCGGGGAAUGGAUUGUUAUCAUGAGUCAAUGAGAUGAUUUAGGGGCUCAGUAGUAAAAUACCUAACAUUCACUUGACACCUGCUGUAGGUCAGACAGCAAACUAAAUGCUUUAUGGGAAUUAUAUAGCACCUGAGUCAUGCCUAUGAGUGAGGAGCUAUUUGAUAUCCUCACUUCAUGGUUGUGGAAACUGAUAACUCAAAAGGUUAGGUGAUUUGCCCAUAAUUUUUAGGAACUAAGUGAAGACACUAGAACUUGACCUGGACCCUUAAUUACAAUGCUAACUAUAAUGACUAUUAUUUUUACAAUUUAGCAUGUCUCCUUCCUUGACAGCUCCAGUGGGGACAAUGACUAGUGAAAGCUCUUUGCAAAUCUCUUGAGUCCUUGUGGCCACUGUGACAGCAACAGUAUUUUCCUCUGCCAGGAGAAGCCCCUGACCCCUUCCUGCGCUGCUCUCUCAUUUUGGGGCUGUGACACC
Molecule: long non-coding RNA, 1190 nt
Filed under: Vulpes vulpes (red fox)
Lineage: Eukaryota; Metazoa; Chordata; Mammalia; Carnivora; Canidae
Description: lncRNA (ENSVVUG00000009803.1)
Source: RNAcentral